AUACGGAGUUACAAAAGACGACAUUAGACGAAUCAUCUGGAAAGAUGAAUCAAAGAAGGUAAUAAUCCUGUAGUCGAAAAUGUUGUCUCUCUUGAGUGGAUCCUGAGUACGACGGAGCACGUGAAAUUCCGUCGGAAUCUGGGAGGACCAUCUCCUAAGGCUAAAUACUCUCUAGUGACCGAUAGUGAACCAGUACCGUGAGGGAAAGGUGAAAAGCACCCCGGAAGGGGAGUGAAAUAGAACCUGAAACCGUGUGCUUACAAGUAGUCAGAGCCCGUUAAUGGGUGAUGGCGUGCCUUUUGUAGAAUGAACCGGCGAGUUACGAUUUGAUGCAAGGUUAAGCAGUAAAUGUGGAGCCGUAGCGAAAGCGAGUCUGAAUAGGGCGAUUGAGUCGCGUGUCCUAGACCCGAAGCGGAGUGAUCUACCCAUGGCCAGGUUGAAGCGCGUGUAAGAGCGCGUGGAGGACCGAACCCACUUCAGUUGAAAAUGGAGGGGAUGAGUUGUGGGUAGGGGUGAAAGGCCAAUCAAACUCCGUGAUAGCUGGUUCUCCCCGAAAUGCAUUUAGGUGCAGCGUCACGUGUUUCUUCCCGGAGGUAGAGCUACUGGAUGGACG
Molecule: ribosomal RNA, 613 nt
Filed under: Xanthomonas citri pv. citri
Lineage: Bacteria; Pseudomonadati; Pseudomonadota; Gammaproteobacteria; Lysobacterales; Lysobacteraceae
Description: partial 23S ribosomal RNA
Rfam family: Bacterial large subunit ribosomal RNA
Source: RNAcentral